AACGAACGCUGGCGGCAUGCCUAACACAUGCAAGUCGAACGAAGGCUUCGGCCUUAGUGGCGCACGGGUGCGUAACGCGUGGGAAUCUGCCCUUGGGUUCGGAAUAACUCAGAGAAAUUUGAGCUAAUACCGGAUGAUGACGUAAGUCCAAAGAUUUAUCGCCCAAGGAUGAGCCCGCGUAAGAUUAGCUAGUUGGUGGGGUAAAGGCCUACCAAGGCGACGAUCUUUAGCUGGUCUGAGAGGAUGAUCAGCCACACUGGGACUGAGACACGGCCCAGACUCCUACGGGAGGCAGCAGUGGGGAAUAUUGGACAAUGGGCGAAAGCCUGAUCCAGCAAUGUCGCGUGAGUGAUGAAGGCCUUAGGGUUGUAAAGCUCUUUUACCAGGGAUGAUAAUGACAGUACCUGGAGAAUAAGCUCCGGCUAACUCCGUG
This 433-nucleotide ribosomal RNA is filed under the name uncultured bacterium. RNAcentral's name for it is "bacterial SSU rRNA". It matches the Rfam family "Bacterial small subunit ribosomal RNA", at positions 29 to 507 of the family's 1533-position model. The record is from RNAcentral.